Molecule: ribosomal RNA, 497 nt
Filed under: uncultured bacterium
Lineage: Bacteria
Description: partial 16S ribosomal RNA
Rfam family: Bacterial small subunit ribosomal RNA
Source: RNAcentral
GAUGAACGCUGGCGGCGUGCCUAAUACAUGCAAGUCGAACGAACAGACGGUGAGCUUUCUCUCCUGACGGUAGCGGCGGACGGAGGAGUGACACGUUGAUAACCUCCUUAUAAGACUAGGAUAACUUCGGGGAACCGCAUCUGAUACCACAUAAUAUAUCGAACGACAUGAUUCAAUAGUAAAAGACAGGUUUCCUGUCACUAAUAGAUGAAGCCGCGCCGCAUUCUCUAUUGGGUAAGGUAACGGCUUAGCAAGGCUACGAUGCGUAGCGGACCUGAGAGGGUGAUCGGCCACCCUGGAACUGAGACACGGUCCAGACUCCUACGGGAGGACGCAGUAGGGACUCUUACGCAAUGGGCGAAAGCCUGACGGAGCAACGCCGCGUGAGUGAUGAAGGUCUUCGGAUCGUAAAACUAUGUUAUUAGGCAAGAACAAAUGUGUAAGUAUAUAUGCACGUAUUGACGGUACCUAAUGAGAAAGCCCCGGCUAACUACGUG